RNAcentral lists this ribosomal RNA (468 nucleotides) under uncultured bacterium. RNAcentral describes it as "partial 16S ribosomal RNA". It matches the Rfam family "Bacterial small subunit ribosomal RNA", at positions 28 to 507 of the family's 1533-position model. The record is from RNAcentral.
GACGAACGCUGGCGGCGUGCUUAACACAUGCAAGUCGAACGGAAAGGCCCUGCUUUUGUGGUGUGCUCGAGUGGCGAACGGGUGAGUAACACGUGAGUAACCUGCCCUUGUCUUUGGGAUAACUUCAGGAAACUGGGGCUAAUACCGGAUAGGAGCUCCUGCUGCAUGGUGGGCGUUGGAAAGUUUCGGCGGUCGGGGAUGGACUCGCGGCUUAUCAGUUUGUUGGUGGGGUAGUGGCUUACCAAGGCUUUGACGGGUAGCCGGCCUGGGAGGGUGACCGGCCACAUUGGGACUGAGAGACGGCCCAGAGUCCUACGGGAGACAGCGGGGGGAAGUAUUGCACAGUGAGCGGAAGCCUGAUGCAGAGACGCCGCGUGCGGGAUGACGGCCUUCGGGUUAUAAACCGCUUUAGGCUGUGACGAAGCGUGAGUGACGGUAAUGGAUAAAGAAGCACCGGCUAACUACGUG